Long non-coding RNA from Dromaius novaehollandiae (emu), 4446 nucleotides. RefSeq lists it as uncharacterized. The transcript is spliced from 2 exons. The record is from RefSeq and is a predicted model, not a curated record. NCBI's taxonomy places the organism in Eukaryota, Metazoa, Chordata, Aves, Casuariiformes, Dromaiidae.
GCUUUUCCAGGCCCACAGGAGCAGACAGCAGCUCACCAGAUGCUUUCCAUGGGUUCAUGCUUUCCACUCCCCACAGGAAACUUCUCUCCCAACAUUCGUAGAGACUCCGAUUUUUCCACGGCAGAAGGUAUGAAUUACCUUUCUCUCCAACAACCUAACUGAUGAACAUAUUUCAUUAAACUCAAGAGUACUUGCUCUCAAGCUGAAUACAGUCUUGAAAAUUACUGCCUCUGUUUCAGACUUGAGUUCGUGUACCUGAAAGCUCAUCCACAAGCUUUCCCACAAACCUUUCCUUGCAUGUGUCUUCAGACUACUAUGGCUACAACAAUGCUACCACUCCAUGUGGUCUACAUGCCAGCACUCCUGAGGACACCAACUCUAGAGCACUCGACUCCUGACCACAGACACCUGGUCUAGCCUCCUUUACAGGGACAAAAAAAACCUUCUUAAAAAAGAACCUUCACUGAAAGUCAUUUUAGUUUUUCUUGCUGAAGCAUCUUCUCUCCUCUGGUGUCAUCAUCUUUAUUCUGUUCAAGGAAGAAUCAGGAGUGUCAGGACUGUCGUAGUAGUCAUAUGCUCUGGCACAUUUCUUCAUUAAAGCCAAAGUGAUCAAAAAGGGGAAAUGCAGAUGAAAAAGUGGGUAAAUUAGACAAAGACAGAUCCUGGUAGACAGAAAAAAAAAAAACAGUGUCCCUUUUGUUACAGACUACCAGGCCAAAGAGUUUUGCUUCAAGUACCGCCUUUGGUCCUGCUCCCACUCACAUUCUUUGGGCACCCUCUGUUGCAGUAUACCAGUCCUUGAAAGCAACUAACAUGGCCCUGGUUGCAAUCUGCUUAAGAUAGUUUACACUGAUGCAAUAUUGCUGAUUUCAGGAAAGACAUUCCUGACACCAGAAAAGUCGUAUAAAUAGUCUCAGGGCCAAGGUCAUUAACUGGGAUUCAAGAGAAUUGGAUUCGAGUUUUCCUACCCUCCUUCCACCCCCUUCAGAGACCUUGCGCAAGUCUUUUUAUCACUUCAUCCAGCAGUACACAGCUAUAAAGGAACAGGGAUCAUAAGAUUCCCCUCCUUGAGAGAAUGACUGUCAGGAUAAAGCCAGCAGUUAUGAGGAAGUCCUUGUAACAUGGCAAGGACAGCCAUAUAGCCGUAAUGAGCAGAUAUUUAGGUGUGAGUCCCCUGCUCUGACACUGACCACACUUUUAGUGCCACAUAAAUAAUUCUACUUUACUUUGGCAUGCUAUUAUCUCUGCACAGACAGGUUAAAGUGAAAAAAGAAGGUUUCUUUCUCUUCCCAGCCCUUGCAAAGGCUGGAGCUGUUCAGUGAAAUCUGAGAGGAACAGGAUUGUGGUAAUUACCUCACCUGCCUCACUCCAGAGAUCACCUCUUCACAAAAAACCUCAUGCACUGCAGCCACCCAAAAUGAGACAGCCCUGGGCAUUAACCCUGAGCUACAUGUCUGACUUGCUUUUUGCCUCAGGCUAUGCAGACGAAGCAAAGCUGGCCCCACACAAACCCCCAGGAAAGACAGCUGCCUCUGCCUUCUUAUCUUGACAAAGCUCCCAUCCCAGAUCACCCAGUGGGGUGGGGAAAUACAGCUGCUUCCUAUAAAACCAAAGGCUAUCCACCCAUCUGUAUCACCUCAUCACCUGCUAAACAGCUCUGACUCCUGCUUGGCACCAGGCAUUGUGAUACCUGAGUGCGGCAGAGGUCAAACACUCCUCAGCUCAGGACUUUCAGGAAAGAUUUGGGUGUGCCUUCUCCCUCCCCCUCCCCCCACACCAGUGCAAUAAGCAUCAGCAGUUUUGCAAAAGUGAUUUGCAUUUUCUCAACCCAGUCAUUUUUCAUAUCAAAGAGGUCUACGUGCCAAAAUAUAUGUGAGCCUAGGCACACAAGAGGCAAGAGUAGUCUCCAACUUGCCUUUAAGAAAAGUCAGGCAGUAAUGAGCUGUUCACUCGUUGAGAGAAAGUUGUUCCCAGUUAGUGAAUAGCUUCAGAGACCAAAGUUUGGCCCUGAAAGAACCUUAAGAACCUGGGAGCAAAGGUCAAACUUUGCCUCCUAGAAGAAUAUCUCACAGAAGAAAUCUAAUUCUACAUUUCAACCACUACGUCAAAUGCUGUUGUUAUCACUUAAGAAGAAUGCAAUGACCUGAGAUCCCUUUAGGAUGAUGGAGUCCAAACAUAUAAUUUUCUGAACCCAUUUAGAGAUAAUCUUGUCUCUCAAAGACUUCUUGGUUAAAGAAGAAAAGCACUCAGGCCUGCAAGGAUACUCAACUCUUCCCUUAUCUCACUGCCUCAUGACUGGAUUAGCUAAUAUGGAUCUGCAGGUUCAGGAUCUGAAGCUGAGCUGCAUCAAGUCCACGUGCUCCAGCUGGGCCUCCCAUGGCCUGGCUGACUCAAAGGUUGCAGUUACUGGCUGUACUGUGGAGAAGCCCUCCAGCCCCAGUGCCUCUGCUCUUCUUGCUUUGCAUUUCUUACUUCAACUGUUUGACAAGAAGUUCUAAGUGCUCUGAAAUCAGCACUGCAUCAUUGCAGCAUAACAUACAGCAGAUAAACAAGUCAGAGCAACUGAGGGUCAUCUGUUCAAGAUCAUGCAGGCAUCAGUGGCAGAGCUGGGUACAGAGUCCUGGGCUCCAGACUCCAGCCCUUGUUUUUUCCACAGUGGAUAUAGCAUGAUUUCAGGAUUAGAAAACUUAACUUGCAUAAAUCCAGCCCUGGCUUCUUCUCCCACCAUAAAGAAGGCUCCUGCCUGUUCUCCAUUGUAUGGCCUUUAUGGCCAGGGGUUUGGAAGGAAGACAAGACAAAGGAAUAACACACUGGUAAAUGAAGGCAGCCUGGCCUCUUGUGUUGCCCUGUCUCCUCAGCUGGUUAUAAUCUCUUCCACAAAACCAAGUAACAAAGGAAUGACUAACAACUAGAAAAGAGACCCUUACUGAAGCAAUGCAGCAGGGCAAAGGACUCUUGCCAGGCACACAGUACCUCUCCAGUGAAGCAUCUUAUCUCAUUGCUUCCAUGAAGACAGCAGAUCUCAGAGCCCAUCAUGCCCUCAAAAGGCAGCCACAUUGGAAAUCAACCCUCAUCUUCCACUGAAGGCGCUAAUUAAUGCUCCCGAAUCACCCUAGUUGCUCUGAACACAUUUGCCCUUAGAAGAGCAUAGACCUGGCCUAGCUCGUUACUAAAGCAGUUCACAAGCACCUAUUGGAGAGAUCUCAAGCACCCAAGGGAAGGAACAUGAACAGGAUUGCCCACGAAAUCCCUAGAUAUCCUACAGCAAGGGAAAAAAGUUGCAACCACAUGAUGCAAACCCCUUGCACUGAAGUAAACAUGCCCUAACCAGUCCCCAUCCAGGCUAAUUUCUUCCCAGCGCAAAUGAAUUUCUUCUUGAGACAGCUGUUUGUUCAUGUACAGGUGUCCAGAGGCAACUACUCCCAUGUUUCUGCCACUUUGUUUCAUGGCAUCUUCACCACUUACACCACAGCACCAGUUACAUCUAUUACUUCACCCCCUGCUGAAAGCAAUGGCAGUUCUCAUUUCUGGGGAGUACGCUCCUCCCUCUUUGUUUCUCCUUUAUGUUUUCAUGUCUUUGACCAGGCCUUUGUUUCUUUUCUGGGAACGUUAUUAGUUUGUGGCCCUGUUCUUCCUUCUGCUCUGAUGCCAAACAAGCACCAGUCCAAACCCAUCUCCUAAUGAAGAUUCCCUCCCAAAAGAACCUCUGGGUACUGCCUCAGAGAUGCUGCCUCGUUUCCACAGCAGCUUACUCCAAACUUGAGGGCUGUACUGUGCUGCUCUAUCAAGGGCUUGGAGAAAGUGAAUUGGAGCCAGGCAACUGGGGAAGGAACCAGGAAGGUCCAAUAGAGGUCAGCCUGCCAUCAGCAGGGGAGGGGAAGCAGCUCUGAAGAGAAAGCAGAGAACACGAAAGGAAAGGUUUGAGAUGGCAGAAGGGAACAAUUGAAUUAAAAUGGCUAGGUCUCUCCUAUAAUACCCACGGGGAAAAAGAGAAGAAUGAUGCCUUUCUGGUAUCUCCUUUGCCAGAAAGGACAGUGAACUGGUGUGUCCUCCAGAGAGCAGAACCAAGGAAGCUGGCUGUCCAGGGAACCAGCACUGAGGAACGCUUCUCACCCAGGUUCUCUGAUGCCAAAGUUUUAGAAGAGUCUCUCAUUUAUGCCAAUUUUCAUAAAAUGAACAGUAAGUAGUUCAAAUGGCUUCAACUGUAGCAAGCAUGCAGUGGAGUGACAAAGAGAAGCAAGGAGCACACUACCACCUACAUUCGCUAAACACACACACACAAACAGCCUGAAUCUUUUCAUUUUUAUAGGACCUGACUCUUAAGAUCAAUCUAGAAAGAAUGACAAGAGACUGUACGUUCACUUACCACCAAAUAUUUCUUCAUUGUGCAUUACCCAUGUCUGAAGCUCAACCCAGCAUAAAAACACACACUGCCAAGCACCUGGA